UACGUAGGUGGCGAGCGUUGUCCGGAUUUAUUGGGCGUAAAGCGCGCGUAGGUGGCUUCGUAAGUCCGUUGUGAAAGUCAAAGGCUCAACCUUUGAAUGCCGAUGGAUACUGCGGAGCUAGAGUACGGAAGAGGCGAGUGGAAUUCCUGGUGUAGCGGUGGAAUGCGCAGAUAUCAGGAGGAACACCGAUGGCGAAGGCAGCUCGCUGGGACGGUACUGACGCUGAGGCGCGAAAGCGUGGGGAGCGAACAGG
This 253-nucleotide ribosomal RNA is filed under the name uncultured bacterium. RNAcentral's name for it is "partial 16S ribosomal RNA". It matches the Rfam family "Bacterial small subunit ribosomal RNA", at positions 524 to 776 of the family's 1533-position model. The record is from RNAcentral.